UACCUGCAGCUCGAGUGGUAACCGCUAUUAUUGGGCCUAAAGCGUCCGUAGCCGGUUUGGUAAAUAUCUGGGUAAAUCGUGAGGCUUAACUUCACGAAUUUCGGAUAGACUGCCAGACUUGGGAUCGGGGGAGGUCAGAGGUACUCCAGGGGUAGCGGUGAAAUGUUGUAAUCCUUGGAGGACCACCGGUAGCGAAGGCGUCUGACUAGAACGAGUCCGACGGUGAGGGACGAAGCCCUGGGGCGCAAACCGGAUUAGAUACCCGGGUAGUCCAGGGUGUAAACAAUGUGGGCUUUGUAUUGGAGGUCCCACGUGGGCGUCCAGUGCAGAAGAGAAGUUGUUAAGCCCACCGCCUGGAAGUACGGUCGCAAGGCUGAAACUUAAAGGAAUUGGCGGGGGAGCACAGCAACGGGAGGAGCGUGCGGUUU
This 428-nucleotide ribosomal RNA is filed under the name uncultured archaeon. RNAcentral's name for it is "bacterial SSU rRNA". It matches the Rfam family "Archaeal small subunit ribosomal RNA", at positions 474 to 903 of the family's 1478-position model. The record is from RNAcentral.